This 79-nucleotide small nucleolar RNA is filed under the name Sphenodon punctatus (tuatara). The record is from RNAcentral. Lineage: Eukaryota; Metazoa; Chordata; Lepidosauria; Sphenodontia; Sphenodontidae.
CUGCAAUGAUGUUUGAAUUUCUUCACCUGAAAGAACCCGUGAAGAGCAAACUUAAACGAGCUUUUUAACCCUGAGCUGU